Small nucleolar RNA from Cavia porcellus (domestic guinea pig), 138 nucleotides. Lineage: Eukaryota; Metazoa; Chordata; Mammalia; Rodentia; Caviidae. The record is from Ensembl.
AAGACUGUUUAGCCCAGGCUGGCAGUUUUCUGAAGCUGUUGGUUUCAAGCAGGCGCCUAAAGUGAUGUCUUUCUAAGGUCUGGUGGCCAUUUUAGAGCUUCAGAAAUGUAAUGGCCAAUUUGUGAAAAAGAAACAACU